Molecule: ribosomal RNA, 409 nt
Filed under: uncultured bacterium
Lineage: Bacteria
Description: bacterial SSU rRNA
Rfam family: Bacterial small subunit ribosomal RNA
Source: RNAcentral
CUGCCAGCCGCCGCGGUAAUACGGAGGGUGCAAGCGUUAUCCGGAUUCAUUGGGUUUAAAGGGUGCGCAGGCGGAUACUUAAGUCAGUGGUGAAAUCCCGGGGCUCAACCCCGGAACUGCCAUUGAUACUGAAUAUCUGGAAUACGGUUGAAGUGGGCGGAAUGUAGCGUGUAGCGGUGAAAUGCAUAGAGAUGCUACAGAACACCGAUCGCGAAGGCAGCUCACUAAGCCGAUAUUGACGCUCAGGCACGAAAGCGUGGGGAGCGAACAGGAUUAGAUACCCUGGUAGUCCACGCCGUAAACGAUGAUAACUCGUUGUUGGCGACACACAGUCAGCGACUAAGCGAAAGCGAUAAGUUAUCCACCUGGGGAGUACGAUCGCAAGGUUGAAACUCAAAUGAAUUGACGG